GAUGAACGCUGGCGGCGUGCCUAACACAUGCAAGUCGAGCGAACGGACGAGAAGCUUGCUUCUCUGAUGUUAGCGGCGGACGGGUGAGUAACACGUGGAUAACCUACCUAUAAGACUGGGAUAACUUCGGGAAACCGUAGCUAAUACCGGAUAAUAUUUUGAACCGCAUGGUUCAAAAGUGAAAGACGGUCUUGCUGUCACUUAUAGAUGGAUCCGCGCUGCAUUAGCUAGUUGGUAAGGUAACGGCUUACCAAGGCAACGAUGCAUAGCCGACCUGAGAGGGUGAUCGGCCACACUGGAACUGAGACACGGUCCAGACUCCUACGGGAGGCAGCAGUAGGGAAUCUUCCGCAAAGGGCGAAAGCCUGACGGAGCAACGCCGCGUGAGUGAUGAAGGUCUUCGGAUCGUAAAACUCUGUUAUUAGGGAAGAACAUAUGUGUAAGUAACUGUGCACAUCUUGACGGUACCUAAUCAGAAAGCCACGGCUAACUACGUG
This 497-nucleotide ribosomal RNA is filed under the name uncultured bacterium. Its description in RNAcentral is "partial 16S ribosomal RNA". It matches the Rfam family "Bacterial small subunit ribosomal RNA", at positions 28 to 507 of the family's 1533-position model. The record is from RNAcentral.